GGAGGGGUGGCAGAGUGGUCGAAUGCACCGGUCUUGAAAACCGGCAGGCGUUAAUAGCGCCUCGAGAGUUCAAAUCUCUCCUCCUCCGCCA
This 91-nucleotide transfer RNA is filed under the name Agarivorans gilvus. Its description in RNAcentral is "tRNA-Ser". It matches the Rfam family "tRNA". Rfam says of the family: Transfer RNA (tRNA) molecules are approximately 80 nucleotides in length. The record is from RNAcentral. Lineage: Bacteria; Pseudomonadati; Pseudomonadota; Gammaproteobacteria; Alteromonadales; Alteromonadaceae.